AACCACUUUUAUAAUAUUUUUGCUUAUGUAAGAGUCACUUCUAUAGUAAAAGAGCCUUAAAAAUGUUAAUUCAAUUGACUGCAGAAUUGAUCCUGAAAAUCCAGUUCAUUUAACCUUGGAAAUGAGACAUGAAGCAUAAAACCUGGGGUCAGGAUGUAUGUCCAAACUGAAUAGAUUAUUUUCGUUCAGCUCAAGUGCUAUCUUUCAGGCAAAUAGACUCCUACAAUAUUCAGUAUUGGAGAUGUUUAAAACAAAUAUAAGAAAGAGUACUGUUUCAGAACUAACCAGCGAAGAGAUGUAUACAAAGUGUACUCUGAAUUGGAAUAAGUGUAGGAAGACAAGCCGUGAGAAUGUGAGACCUCAGUAUAUUGCUGUGUUUUAUUGUGUGUUUUGCUGUAUUUUUAAAAAAUAAGAAAAAAUUAUCACAGAGUAAGAUACAUAGAAGAAAAUAAUUUCCGCAAUUCUUGGUACCUCAAAAGACCUGACACACUACAAUGAAGACUUCUGUUGUCAUCAUUCUCAGCUGUGAUGGUGGCGCCAUCCUGGUUUCCAGCUUAUACCUCCUGACAACUCGGUACAGAAAAUGAGUAUCAUUGUAAUUAAAGUUUGAUAUUUUCUUCUAAGUGACUGAUUUUUAAUAUAAAAGUAUCACAAUAAAGUUUUUCCACAGAUAUGUAAUUUUAAGUUAGAUAACAUUCUAACAUAUACAUGGUUUCAAUUUUCUUAUAAGUCUGUGAAUCACUCAAGUUAGGCAUUGUUAGGUUUUUUAAGGAAAAACUUUGAUGCCCAGAAUAACUGUAACUUAUGCAAACACACACACACACACACACACUCACACACACACGAAGUAAAUGGUAGAAAUGAAAGAAGAAGAAGAAGAAAAAAACAUUGG
This 892-nucleotide long non-coding RNA is filed under the name Homo sapiens (human). RNAcentral's name for it is "long non-coding RNA NONHSAT238554". The record is from RNAcentral. Lineage: Eukaryota; Metazoa; Chordata; Mammalia; Primates; Hominidae.